Molecule: ribosomal RNA, 613 nt
Filed under: uncultured bacterium
Lineage: Bacteria
Description: bacterial SSU rRNA
Rfam family: Bacterial small subunit ribosomal RNA
Source: RNAcentral
CAUUAGCUAGACGGCGGGGUAACGGCCCACCGUGGCGACGAUGUCUAGGGGUUCUGAGAGGAAGGUCCCCCACACUGGAACUGAGACACGGUCCAGACUCCUACGGGAGGCAGCAGUGAGGAAUAUUGGUCAAUGGGAGAGAUCCUGAACCAGCCAAGCCGCGUGAGGGAAGACGGCCCUAUGGGUUGUAAACCUCUUUUGUCGGAGAACAAAACCCGGGACGAGUCCCGGACUGCGUGUAUCCGAAGAAAAAGCAUCGGCUAACUCCGUGCCAGCAGCCGCGGUAAUACGGAGGAUGCGAGCGUUAUCCGGAUUUAUUGGGUUUAAAGGGUGCGUAGGCGGUCCGUUAAGUCAGCGGUAAAAUUGCGGGGCUCAACCCCGUCGAGCCGUUGAAACUGGCAGACUUGAGUUGGCGAGAAGUACGCGGAAUGCGCGGUGUAGCGGUGAAAUGCAUAGAUAUCGCGCAGAACUCCGAUUGCGAAGGCAGCGUACCGGCGCCAGACUGACGCUGAGGCACGAAAGCGUGGGGAUCGAACAGGAUUAGAUACCCUGGUAGUCCACGCAGUAAACGAUGAAUGCUGGUUGUCCGGGUCGAAUGAGACCUGGGCGGCGA